Molecule: small nucleolar RNA, 120 nt
Organism: Octodon degus (degu)
Lineage: Eukaryota; Metazoa; Chordata; Mammalia; Rodentia; Octodontidae
Source: RefSeq, a predicted model, not a curated record
UUCCAAAGUGUCGAGUUCAGCACAGGGCAGCUUCUCUGUUCUGUUAAACUUUGGAACACUGAAAUACGACGCAAGUGAUAAUUGGGUAAAAAAUAUUCUGUGUUCUCCAGGCCCAGAGAG